Molecule: transfer RNA, 77 nt
Filed under: Lentisphaerota bacterium
Lineage: Bacteria; Pseudomonadati; Lentisphaerota
Also listed under: 1 other name
Description: Lentisphaerae bacterium (feces metagenome) tRNA-Ala
Rfam family: tRNA
About the family: Transfer RNA (tRNA) molecules are approximately 80 nucleotides in length.
Source: RNAcentral
GGGGCAGUAGCUCAGUUGGCUAGAGCAUCACACUGGCAGUGUGAGGGUCGAGAGUUCGAGUCUCUUCUGCUCCACCA